Schistocerca gregaria is the source of this 696-nucleotide long non-coding RNA. RefSeq lists it as uncharacterized. The record is from RefSeq and is a predicted model, not a curated record. NCBI's taxonomy places the organism in Eukaryota, Metazoa, Arthropoda, Insecta, Orthoptera, Acrididae. The transcript is spliced from 3 exons.
UCUUGUCGGCCCCCUUCCUCAUUUUUCCCAUCAGAUCAAUCUACGUUAUCUGUACCUUCAAAACAACCAUCUCACCAUUGACUGUAACAACUCAAGAAUCGAUCCCAUCUACCUAUCUCCUCACACCUGUGAUGUGAGCAACAAUGACAUCUCUGUCACAAACUGUCCUUUCCGCUGCAAUAUUUCUGUAAAAUAGACUCUAUGUAUUACAACGAGAACAAUGACCGUGCAUAAGACAAAUAGAAUGCUAGCAUACACGUGGUGCUGACUUCAAUAACAAAACGCUAUAGACCUCUAUUUUUAAUCAUACACACAAUAUCCUAACAGCAAACUUCAAUGUGUGUCCAAGCAGUAACGCUAUAUCUGUUCAAUACUAGCACCACACUUGUGCCUACAUACACUUGGUGGCAAUCACGAUACAGCAUGAAUGCCUCAUCGUAUGUACUGGAAACACAAUGCGUAUAUACGAAUAAUACGUGCAUCUAUGUAUCUAACAACUACAUACGUGUACUAUGCAUGUCUUCCACAAUGGCAUUAUGAAUACACAUGCAUAAUGUGUCCCUGAGUGAAAUAAAAGCAGGCUGAACGCGUCCCCGUAUAUGCCGCGACGAAGGCGGAUAUAAAUUGUAAUUACAGAUAAAAUUAGAUGUUAAUAUAUGUUCACGCAUAUAGAAGGUGCGGAAUAUAUGGACGAAA